Oryza punctata is the source of this 204-nucleotide non-coding RNA. The record is from Rfam. NCBI's taxonomy places the organism in Eukaryota, Viridiplantae, Streptophyta, Magnoliopsida, Poales, Poaceae.
AAAGAGUGCAGUUUUGCACCGUUCAUGUUCAACGUUUGUCCGUUCGUCUUAUUUGAAAAAUUUUUAUGAUUAGCAUUUUUAUUAUUAGAUGAUAAAAUAUGAAUUGUACUUUAUGUGUGACUAAUUUUUUAAAAAAAUUCAUAAUUUUUUCAAAUAAGACGUUCGGUCAAAUAUUGGACACGGAAACACACGACUGCACUUAAA